RNAcentral lists this microRNA (22 nucleotides) under Schmidtea mediterranea. Its description in RNAcentral is "sme-bantam-c-3p". Its record names the gene sme-bantam-c-3p. Lineage: Eukaryota; Metazoa; Platyhelminthes; Tricladida; Dugesiidae. The record is from miRBase by way of RNAcentral.
UGAGAUCAUUAUGAAAGCUUUU